CUACGCACCAAAAGUACCAGUCACGGUGGAACCGAGUUCGAUAUCGAAUCGAGACCGUACUCCAUUGGACCGGGACAUGGCGUAUGUGUAGGCGUAUGUGAACCCUAAGGCAACUCAAAGACAUCAGAAUAACAGGGUCCACUCAAAUGUAAAACUCUGGGUUCGCCUAUUCCGGAUGUUAUAGCUGAAUUAUCGUAAGAGGCGACUAAACAUGUUGGCCAGUCGGAGCUGGUUCCCGGUCACGGGACGCAGCGAAACCUCCAGGGACUAGGGUGUCAGAGGUUUGGGCCGUGACCUCAAAAAGAGUGGCCGGGUCUGGGAGCAGUGUAACAGGAUCCCAUGCCAGAACAGGGCGACGACCGCGUCUCGAGCGAGCGCUCCGAAGUAAGGGACGACUUGUCGCCGCGCAAAUCCAGGUGGGUCAAGGCCGAACAUCCUACCGGCUAUGUGCCCACUCAACGGUGGCGAAUCCCGAGUUUGUUCAUUUUGGCACUUUCCUACCCAGCCCCCGUCAGCCGUUGCGAGGCUUCGACCAAUUGUCGGUUUCGUGGUGUUUGCAUCAGAAGCUCUGUGCGCGGUUAACAUGGCAAGCUGCCGAUGAGCG
Molecule: long non-coding RNA, 604 nt
Organism: Sipha flava (yellow sugarcane aphid)
Lineage: Eukaryota; Metazoa; Arthropoda; Insecta; Hemiptera; Aphididae
Exons: 3
Source: RefSeq, a predicted model, not a curated record